Vitis vinifera (wine grape) is the source of this 78-nucleotide small nucleolar RNA. NCBI's taxonomy places the organism in Eukaryota, Viridiplantae, Streptophyta, Magnoliopsida, Vitales, Vitaceae. The record is from Rfam.
CAAGAUGAUUAAAAGCAGCAGCUGAACCAGAUUGGGCAGAAAAAGAAGUUGUAAAAGAUCUUCCUGUAGUAUCUGGAA